This 251-nucleotide ribosomal RNA is filed under the name uncultured prokaryote. RNAcentral's name for it is "partial 16S rRNA". It matches the Rfam family "Bacterial small subunit ribosomal RNA", at positions 525 to 775 of the family's 1533-position model. The record is from RNAcentral.
ACGGAGGGUGCAAGCGUUAUUCGGAAUUACUGGGCGUAAAGCGCGUGUAGGCGGCCCUGCAAGUCUGAUGUGACAAAUCAAGAAAAAAAAAGGUAAGUGCAUUGGAAACUGCAGGUCUUGAGUACUGGAGAGGAUGGGGGAAUUCCCGGUGUAGAGGUGAAAUUCGUAGAGAUCGGGAGGAAUAUCAGUGGCGAAGGCGCCCAUCUGGACGGUAACUGACGCUGAGACGCGAAAGCGUGGGGAGCAAACAG